GUGAAUUUGUAGCCUCCCAGGCUCACAUUCUCUAUCCUUUACACACCUGUGCACCCUUCUGAAGCGGAGAGUUAUUAGGCAUUGGCCGAGCGCCUCCCUUCGGUUAUUAUAUCAACCUAUAUCUUUAACAACAUUCGUCUGAUAACAUAUUAUGAAUAUACUUAAUUCAAAAUA
RNAcentral lists this unclassified non-coding RNA (174 nucleotides) under uncultured Geminibasidium. Its description in RNAcentral is "sequence contains ITS1". The record is from RNAcentral. Lineage: Eukaryota; Fungi; Basidiomycota; Geminibasidiomycetes; Geminibasidiales; Geminibasidiaceae.